Oryctolagus cuniculus (rabbit) is the source of this 1896-nucleotide non-coding RNA. The record is from RefSeq and is a predicted model, not a curated record. Lineage: Eukaryota; Metazoa; Chordata; Mammalia; Lagomorpha; Leporidae.
GAACAUUCCAUUUGUGCCUGAGGAGAGUGUGCAUUCUACUGUUGUUAGGUGAAGUGUUCUAUCUAUUAUCUAUUGGGUCCAGGUGGUCUACAGGGAUGUUCCAGUCAUCCUUCAUUACUGAUUCAUCUGGUGCAUUCUUCAAAUAGAUUUUGAAUGGCAAGAUGAUCUUCUUGUAAAGAAAUAUUACUCUGCACAUCUUUCCUGCAGAUGAAGCCAUCUACAGAUAUUUAAUUACACCUAUGCUGGGAAGCAGUGUUUUAAAUCAGGACAAAAGAUUGGGUAGUUAUUUGGGACAAAGCCAUUACUAAAGAAAGUGGUGUUCAAAUGUUGGGAGAAACGUAUCCUAUCUACUUUUCCUUCCUGCCCUUCAUGCAACACACUGGAUGGAAAUACUCUGUGCUGAGAAAAGUUCAAUCCAGAGACUGAGUUGGUUCUUGUCUGAAGAAAAGAGCUCUUACAAGAGAAAAUAAGGUAUCACUUUUGUCACUGACAGCAGAAAAGAAGGUGGUGCUAAGAAAUGAUAGGAGAGAAUUCUGAGCCUCCUCUUCUUAGAAUUCUGCUUUCCCCACCACCUACCUAAUUUAACCAUAGUCCAUACAAGGGAAGCCAUUGGCUGUUCUACUAAUCAUAAAAUUACCUUCAGGUUAAAUUGUCCUUAUCGAUCUUUGUUUUUAUUUUUUUGCAGUGCACUAUGUGAAAGCAAGCCAACAUACAAUGCAAAACAAUAUUUUUUUCUUUAUAGCAUCAUUCCACCUAGGUCGAAUAGACAUAAAUUGACCCACGUGAGAUAAAUCUAAAGGGCUAGACCUCUAUAAUGAAUAAUUAGUGAACCAUGCAAUUUUUACAGAUGGAAGUUAUCUAAUCAAAUGUCUUCAAUUUAUAGAUGAGGAUUAAGUCCUUGGCUCUAUUCUGAGGACAACCAUAAAAGUUCUUGGCUGCUUAAAGAGACAAUUCAAAUGCCCUCUCAUUACCUCCCUCAUUAAAUGCAAGCCAGUGUUAUUACUGGAUAGAGAUUUAAUUGAACCCAGAAGUGUUGCUAAUGUGACUUCAUGGAUGUUGGCAUGGUUUUUUUCUGUGACCAUACUUCUUACUCCCUGAACUGGCAUUUUCUAGGAUUACUUUAUCUGUCAGUUGUAAUACUUGAAUUUGAGAUGAAAGGUAGAUAACAAAAAUAAAUAGUGUCCUUCUAUAUAGCCCCUCACUAUGUAGCCACUUCAAGUAUUAAGGUGAUCAUCAAAUUUUUCUGCAUUUUGAAUAUCUUAUUAAAUGGUUCUCUUCCAAAUCCAGAGGGUAAACUAGAAAAAAGAUGGAUACUCAAUAAAAAGGAAGGAAAUCCAUCAACAUUUAUUCAGCACAUAUAUUCUGCAAAACCCUUUCAUGCAUGCACUCAAUUAUCUCAUUUAGUUCUUUCAACAACUUCCAUACUGUAUUGUACUAGCUUACUGAUCCUUUCUUCUGUUGGAUCACAUUUAAUGUUUUUCUAAUUUUGGCUAUAUUUAAUUUCUUGCGUGUUUAUUUAGUUCUUCUAUAAAUACUUCAUUUCUCUAUUGAAAUUGUUCAUUCUGGGGCUGGUGCUAUGGCGUAGUGGGUAAAGCCACCACCUGCAGUGCUGGCAUCCUAUAUGGGUGCUGGUUCAAGUCCCGGCUGCUCCACUUUCUAUCCAGCUCUCUGCUGUGAUGUGGGAAAGCAGUAGAAGAUGGCCCAAGUCCUUGGGCCACUGCACCGGCAUGGGAGACCAGGAAGAAGCUCUUGGCUCCUGGCUUCAAAUAGGUGCAGCUCCAGCCAUUGCGGCCAGUUGGAUGGAACCAGAGGAUAGAAGACCUCUCUCUGUCUCUUUCUCUGCCUCUCCUUCUCUCUCUGUGUAACUCUUUCAAAUAAAUAAAUAUUUUUAAAAAG